RNAcentral lists this transfer RNA (73 nucleotides) under Rickettsiales bacterium. RNAcentral describes it as "tRNA-Lys". It matches the Rfam family "tRNA". Rfam says of the family: Transfer RNA (tRNA) molecules are approximately 80 nucleotides in length. Lineage: Bacteria; Pseudomonadati; Pseudomonadota; Alphaproteobacteria; Rickettsiales. The record is from RNAcentral.
GAGCACGUAGCUCAGUCGGUAGAGCACCUGACUUUUAAUCAGGUUGUCGAUGGUUCGAUUCCAUCCGUGCUCA